Molecule: long non-coding RNA, 1182 nt
Filed under: Salvia miltiorrhiza (redroot sage)
Lineage: Eukaryota; Viridiplantae; Streptophyta; Magnoliopsida; Lamiales; Lamiaceae
Description: long non-coding RNA (SMIL_LNC005358)
Source: RNAcentral
AUUAACCCGCCUCUACCGGGUGUUUGCUAGUCACAUUUAAUUACCAACGGGGCCCGUUGCAAACCAAGGCCCGCUGGUAUUCAAACGUUAAUGCUCGGUAAUUAGACUGACCAAAUUGGCCAGUUUAUUUUCAACCUACUGCUACAGUAUCUACAAAGUUAAAUAAGAUUUCAUUUUUACCCUUCUUUCUCCUGAGUUGCAGAUAUUUCCGAUGGAUUCCUCUUGUGCCUCGGCGGCAUAUGCUUUUGCGACGCCGGCUUUCUCGAGCGGGAUUUUCCGGCUGUCGGCUUAGCCACUUUCUUGUGCUUCUUGCUGAUGUGAGCGAGGCGGAGGCUGAGGCAGUUGGUGAGGAUGACUCUGCUUCAUCAGGUCUUGCCCCGAGCGGACGCCUCCAGCAACCGGUCGGCGACGUCGCGUGCGGCGUGGCCGGAAUCGGGGCUGCGGAGGUGGCGGAGGGCGUCGAUGAGCUUCGACGAAUAGACGUGUUGCUCCUCUUGGGCGUCGACGUGAUUGACAAAUCAAAGGAAAUCUAAUUUCCAAUACAUCAAUCUCAAAUUUCACUCACACAAAGCCUUCACUAAUGCCAACAAAGUAGAAGUAAACACACACAAACACACCUCUCUCUUACACACACAUCAAAUAUUUCAAUUUCAAUGGUUUUCCUCUCUCUCUCUCUCUCUCCCUCUAGUUCAUUGCUGUUCGAGACUGCAGCUCGUAGUAGUCUGUGUUAUCCGAACACUUAUUUUUGGAGAAUUUGUGUAUGGAUAGCGAAAUUUUGAUCCGUCGAAGAAGCAAUUUAUGCUAAACCUAAGAGAAAAGUUCACUGGAUGGAUAACAAUGGAGAUAAGCUUGCAGAAAUCUUGGAGUUUCAACCGAGGUAAUUGGGAUAUUUUUUGUUUUUGAUGUUUUGUGUUGUUGAUACUGCAUGAUUUAUGGUCAGGUUAUGACAUUGGAUUCUUGUAAUUGUGCUCAUUGCUGAUGUUAGUUCUUGAGUUUUUCAAUAUGCUGUUCAAUUUAUUACUAAGGAACUGCACUAAGUUGCAUAAAUUUGGAGGAUGCUUAUUCAAUGGCAUAGAAUCAAAUAAUCAAUGUUGUUAUAGAAUAUACAUGGUUGAAGGGAUGAUCUUGUUGGUGGCUAUGCUCGAUUUUUUGCUCCCUUUUGUUUUCAAUCAUAUGUUGAUG